Long non-coding RNA from Ictalurus punctatus (channel catfish), 1455 nucleotides. Lineage: Eukaryota; Metazoa; Chordata; Actinopteri; Siluriformes; Ictaluridae. The record is from Ensembl.
GGCCAAGAGAUUUAAAAUUUUUAUCUCAUUCGGUAACAGUUCCAGAGGAUCUUAAACAUUCACAAAAAAUAGGAUGAGUGAUAUUUCGUUGCUGUUGUUGCUUUUCUCUCCCGGUGGGGGCGUGGGGGGGGGGGGGUUGGAGUGUUCUUUUUUUAUGUAUCGCCACCUAGUGGUGAAAAGAAUGGACGCAUGCACACACAGACAGGAAGUGAGUUCACAGGACCAUGUGUGGAGUUUAAACUGCAUUCAGCACCAUCUCUAGAGUCCAUCCCAAGCUCUCACCACUCUGUCCAGCUCGGGUUAUCCACAGCCACAGGAGCCUCUCAUAAAAGUUCCCUCAAAGUUGUGUUUCUUUUGGAAUUCUUUCCUUUAAUUCCUGCUCCUUACUUUUGUAUAUUUUGAGGAGACAUGAACAGGAAAUGCACUGCAUGGCACAAUAAAUAAAUCAAUAAAUCAAUCAAUCAAUAAAUCAAUAAAUAAAUCCUAUUCAUUGCAUAACUGUCUUCUUUGUUUGUUUUUUUUUGUUUGUUUGUUUUUUGCUGUUGUUUUUGGUGUAACAAACAAUUGGUAAAAUACAAACCAGCAGCUGUCCAGAAGUACACGUGUGAAAGGUCAAGGUUUUAGUCUAACAGAUUCUAAAUUAGCAUAAAUUAACAAUUUAACCCGCCAAAAACGAAUUAAACAGGACUUCUCAAUAACCACGUAUAAACAAACACAAGUCACUUAAAUCAUCUUAACAAGAAUGUUGACAUCUUCCAACACAAAUCAAAGGGACGUGGCUCCAGUGUGGUCAAAAAGUUUUACCAUAAAAUCUUUGUGAUCAGCGCCCCCAGGUGUCUGAUGGUGUGCUUAGCGCUUUUCUUUUUCUAUACGCAGGGCUUCUCAAACCUUUUGCAGCCAGGGACACUGCAAAAUAACUUCCACGGACCUGCACCAGGACACAAUUUAACUACUUUCAAUAUCAUACUCGUUAUUUAAGCGUACACACUAAUAUUUCUGAUACUGUAGCCAUAAAGCUUUUUAUUCCUGAUCUUCACCCACAGAACAUGUUUUUAAUCAAAUUGCAGAUUCAAGUAAACAUAAUUUAGAAGUUAUGUGUUUGAGUCAUGUGACCAGUCCAUGUGAACAGGCUAAUAAUUAUUAUUAUUUAAAUUAUAAUAAUGUUUAUAAUGCUGCACCACUGUAAUUAAAGGCCCUUGUUGCUCCCCAGACCACUUGGACUACCACAACUGAGGACGUUAGGGGUUUAAUUUUGGAUUUUGAAGUGGCACGGAGACUUUCAGGUAUCAAACUGAGUUACAGAAAGGAAAAACAGGGUUUUUAAAGGUGCAUCUGGGAAACGGGACUGCGUGCUUCAGUCCUGUGAGGGAAGGCUGCAUUCUGACGAAUAAACACAGUUCCCCGAGACGAGACUGACAAAUCAAAGACAGUUCCCGUCUACAGAUCCUCUGUCUG